UACGUAGGAUCCUAGCGUUGUCCGGAUUUACUGGGUGUAAAGGGUGCGCAGGCGGACUUAUAAGUCAGUGGUGAAAUCUCGGCGCUUAACGCCGAAACUGCCUUUGAUACUAUAAGUCUUGAGUUUGGUAGAGAUCCGUGGAAUUCCGAGUGUAGCGGUGAAAUGCGUAGAUAUCUGGAGGAAUACCGGUGGCGAAGGCGGCAUCCUGGACCGGCAUUGACGCUGAGGAGCGAAAGCCAGGGGAGCAAACGGG
Molecule: ribosomal RNA, 253 nt
Filed under: uncultured bacterium
Lineage: Bacteria
Description: partial 16S ribosomal RNA
Rfam family: Bacterial small subunit ribosomal RNA
Source: RNAcentral